RNAcentral lists this ribosomal RNA (300 nucleotides) under uncultured bacterium. RNAcentral describes it as "bacterial SSU rRNA". It matches the Rfam family "Bacterial small subunit ribosomal RNA", at positions 399 to 691 of the family's 1533-position model. The record is from RNAcentral.
GCGUGUGUGAAGAAGGCCUGCGGGUUGUAAAGCACUUUCAAUUGGGAAGAAAAGGCGAGGGUGAAUAGCCCUUGCACUUGACGUUACCUUUAGAAGAAGCACCGGCUAACUCCGUGCCAGCAGCCGCGGUAAUACGGAGGGUGCGAGCGUUAAUCGGAAUUACUGGGCGUAAAGCGCGCGUAGGCGGUUUGUUAAGUCAGAUGUGAAAGCCCUGGGCUCAACCUGGGAACUGCAUUUGAUACUGUCGGACUGGAGUAUGGUAGAGGGAAGUGGAAUUCCGGGUGUAGCGGUGAAAUGCGU